AGUUCUGCAGAUACCGAGAAGAGCAACGGUCCACCAAACCGUGGGUCGGGAGUUCGAAUCUCCCCAGGCCUACCA
Molecule: transfer RNA, 75 nt
Filed under: Acidobacteriota bacterium
Lineage: Bacteria; Pseudomonadati; Acidobacteriota
Also listed under: 1 other name
Description: Acidobacteria bacterium tRNA-Gly
Source: RNAcentral